This 10496-nucleotide long non-coding RNA is filed under the name Homo sapiens (human). RNAcentral's name for it is "HSALNT0389560". Lineage: Eukaryota; Metazoa; Chordata; Mammalia; Primates; Hominidae. The record is from RNAcentral.
AGAGUGCGGGGAGACCGCGUUUAGAGGAUCAGUGGCGGCGGCACCCGCGGCCCCGCGCGGCGCGGACGGCGGGCAGCACCGUGCCUGGGCCCCCUCCUGCUCCGGUAAGGCGUGGGUUUCGAUGGGAGGGACAGAGAGAGAGCGGGAAUAGGCGCAGGCGGAGGCCAGAGUUCUGCUGUAGAGUGGGGGUAGUCCAAGACCGAGCCUUGUGGAAGGUUGGGGUGCAGCCGGGUCCGGAAUCCCAGGCGGCUCCCCUGCACUGCUGGGCUUUGCAAUUCAGCGGCUGUUGCCAUUGUCCCCCCGUACUUUCUUGAGCUGGAAGUUUGUCCCAAGCGCAGCGCACAUCUUUGGAGGGGGAGGAGGCUCUUAGCAGCAGAAUCUCCCUCCUCCCGUCCCUCUUUCUGUGCCCCCUCCCCCAAUCCAUCCAAAGUCCACAGGGUCCGGGUCCUGGGCGAGCUGAGUGUCUGUCUCCCGCAGAGCACUCUUGCAAAGUUGAUUCGGGCGGUUUCCUGAUGGGGGCGGGGAGACCGGAGGCGCGGCGCCGGCGCGGGGGAAGGAGUGGACCGGGAAGCGCCUCGGGUGAGGAGUUGCAACCCUGGCGAGAAAGUUGUGAGAAAACUGUGAUCCGGAGACACCUUUUACGUACAAAAACAAACGACUAGGCGGGAAACCGGGGGCUCCAGCGGCGGCUGGGGGUGGUGGUCGUGGCGUUGGGAAGAGGGAAGGAGGAGGGGGGGGUGCCGGGACGCCACGAAGAGGCUGCAGUAGAUGGGCGUGCAGUGCAUGGGCAGCGUGUGCCGGGAUUCCAGUCCUCCCCUGUCCAGGCUUCGGGUUGGCACCGGCUUCCCCAGACAACAGCAAACCACACCCUCCAUAGUUCACUCCUCAGGGAACCCGUAACUCCCUAAUCCCGCUCUGGCUAGGAACUCGGGACCGCCGCCCCCAGGGGCCUAUUUUCCCACACGUGGGGGACAGAUCCUGGUCUAGAGUGCCUUCGCCUGGAAGAGUUACUGUAGUUUUUCGGAGCACUCAAGUCAAACCCUAAAUUCCGUUUCGACCACACCUGUUCUGGGUGGGCUUAACCAGGAUUUCUCCUGAAGUGGAGUCUGAAGGUGGUUGGGCUGGGCGGUCCCACUUUUGCUCCCCGUUUUUGUGCUUCGGGGGAGGGGGUGCUAGGAAGGCUCAUUUGGCCCGAGCAUGGAAGGCAGUGAUAGUGGGCGUCCCUCCGGAGCUGGCUGGUAUUGUGGAAUUGGCCUUUGGACCCCACUCGCGAUGCGCAGACCAGACGGAAGCUGAAACGGGGGAAAUGCUCGGGGAAGCGGAGUCGCAGUGAACCUGGGCUGGCAGGGAAUCCCGCUGUGCAGAUGGAAUACCCUCUUCGGACGAACGGGGAAGCUGCUUCAGAGAAUCUGGCUUGCGCUCCGUGGAACCGUGGGGUUUUAGGGCUUUGCCAACGCCCCUUUGCUGACUCCGCCCGCACCGCCCAGCAACCUCAAGGCCCACAGGCAGCCCCCCGCCUUGCCGCCGGCGUCACCAUGUCAUGGAAACCGAAGCCGCGGAGACCCGCAGUGCGACUCGUUGGCGUUCUGCCCUGACCCGUGGGUGCCGGGACCCUAACGCCUUCUCCACACCUUCUUGCACAUACACAUGUGGGCUCCCCGCUGCGGGCCGGAGGAGCGUAGGGGACUAGUCAGCUCCGGCGCGCCGCCGGCCUCCGCCGGUCGCUCCCAGACCCCGACGCGGGGCAGGGCAGAGGAUGGAGAAGGCGGUUCUGCGAUCUAGGGGGCGGGCUCCGCGGGCUCGGACUCGGCUUCGCGCUCCUCCUGCGGACCCGGCACUUCCCGGCGGAAGACGACCGGUACUCGGUAGGCUUCUGGCACCCCCGCAAGCGCCAAAAGCCGUGUGGCAUGGGGUCCCCACUUCUUCCACCCGGACCCCCAGGCGCCUCCCAGCCUGCUGCGCUGCGUGAGGCCUGCGGGGAGGGGGCCAGUCCAGCCCUGCUGUCCUCACACUCCUCCCCUCCCCGCAGCUGUCCCGGUUCUCGCCGCCAGCGCCCUCGACCCAACCGCCCCUUUCUGGAAUCUAUAGUGGCCCCAGUCCCGGGUGGCUUGCCUCCGCCCCCGUCCCAGCUGGGCUCCUUCUCAUGCAAAGCAGAGGGGUCACGGUGGAGUGUGGGGCGGUCAGUGGGACCUACCGGACGACAGCUGGACCUAGCUGUCGGCCCUUCCCCAACCCAGGGCCUGUCACCUCCCUCUGGUGGGCAGGAGGAGGUUGCUCCAUCCAUUUAGGGGUGUAAGAACCUUGGGACCUAGGUAUAGGGGAAAGAAGGCCCCUCCCCACAGACGGACCAGCGAGGCAGGAGAGUUGAGGAUGAGGACAGGACGCUCGCUCUAGGGCGUCAGGCUCCGCUCGUCCUGGUGUCCAGAUGGCUCAGUAAACAGGUCCGCAGGAGCCAACCCUGGCGUCUCUGCAAGGGGGGCCAGGAGCGCAACUCAAAGUGCGCCUCUUGGCUCCAGAUUCUAGGUUUGGAGUCCAGAUUUAACUCCUCCACGGGGACAGCACAUUAGACAAAUGGUGGGUUUUGUUUUGUUUUCGUUUCCAUUGAGCUUUUGUUUUAAAACAUAAUCGGUCGCAGGGACAUGGAGAGAAAAUUGACCAGGCUUUCUAAAUUCGCCUUCUCCGAAGCCGCUCAGCUCAGCUCUGCAUUUAAGCCAGUUCCGUUCAGCGAAGAGCACCAACCUUCCCUCCUCACCUUCCCGGCCACAUUUAUUGUCUGCAUCCUCAACUACGCAAGCGUUUUCCUACCCAAUGUCCUCCACAGACCCACAGCCACUUACACCGCCCAGGACCUGUACAUUCUGGACCAGGGUCCGCGGGGAUCAUUUUCGCCCAUAGCUCGGUGACUGCAGAAUCCUUUCCACCCUCCUCCCAGGCACCCCCGGAUACGGCCCCAGAGGGCCUAGGAGGUGACUUUCACAGUCCAGGUUUCUUUUCUUGAGAAGCUCCUUGACGAUCAGCCCCAGAGGGACCCUGGUCAGAACCCGGGUUGGAGAGGGUUCUGUCAGCUCUCUCCAGCUGCCAUGCAGUUUGGGGAGCCUGAAGGUGCCCCUCUCAAACUUCCACUUCCCUUCCUUCCCCCGCCCCCGCCCCCUCCAGGUUCCAGAAUGACGCUCGGCCCAUGGACAGAGCCUGCCCAGUCACUCUCGGCUGCUAUUGAUCCCGAGGAUGAUGGCCGCCCCUAGCCAUUUCCCUCCUCUCUCUUCGGUUCCAGAACAGCCCAAGGAGCAGAAAAGAGUGACAAGGCCGUGAAAGGAGGCGCCUGGGGCGUAGCCGGCUCUAGGAGGUUACCCCAUGCGGAGUACACACCCUGCUACACCCAUCCCGGAGGAGGGAGGAAAUAGCCAGCCCGGAGCACCCCUGGACUCUGCCGGUCCCAGAGGCCACGCAAACUCCGCCCAGACUCGGUGAGGCCGCGGUAAUGCCACGCAGGGAACUGCGUGGAUAAGGUCGCUCGGAUCUGAGCGCCAAGGUCUCCCGCCUCUCCUUCCCGUCUAGUUCUCUCCGGACUCAAAUUGCCUUAAUCUCACCCAUCACUCUCUCAUGGAAAUGAUCUACUCGUGUGCAGUACUUCACAGCUUGUAUCACGGUCUCCCCUGAACCGUAUAGCAAGAGGGUGGUGGGGGGUGGAAGAGAAGGGUACUAUCUCCACUUUCCCGGCCAGGAGGCCCAAGUUAGGAGGCUUGUCCGAGAUCCCUAGGUCAGAGCACUAUUUAAGGUGAGAAGUUGGGUGGGGAGCUUGGCACCUUGCUCCAGUGUGCACUUUGCGCCUGGCCAUGUUUUAUAAGCAAGGGGGGCUUGGGCUGGUUAAGGGGGAGCAGGGACCGCAGGGCCAGGAAAGGGCAGCAUCCGGCAGGCCGGGGCGUCACGGUAUGUGCCUGGCCUGGGUAAACAACUCUGGCUUCCCACGAGCGCUGGAGGGACCCUGGGCAUGGGGCAGGGGCCGGGUGGAACAGCGAGGUCAAGCGUGGAGAUUCCAGUUGCGAGUCAGCUCCGCGCCGCGGAGCAAAGACAGGACGUGGAUAAUCUUGGGAGGGAGACGCUGAGCUGAAGAACAGAAAAGAGAGACAGAGGCAGAAGUGAGGAGAGAGGGACAGGAAAAGAAAAUAAAGGCAGAAAACCAGAGAAAAGAUGAGACGGAGUGCGGAAAAGCAGGCGGGGAUAAAGAAAGGAAAGAUCUGUCGGGGAAAUGCGGGGAGAAGUGGAGGAAAAGAAACAGAAAUUAGACCCAGAGAGAGACCCUGCCACGAAGAAGGCCGCGGGGACGGGCGCGGAGCCGAGGGCCCUGCAGGCACGGAGGGGGCGUCCCGCGGGUCUGGGGGUGUGCGGCUUUGGGACAGGCGAGUGCGUGCUGAGAGAAAGAGGCAGCGUGUUUGGUGGGAGACUCUGCGCCCGUGGAAAAGCGGCUCUGGGCAGGAAUCCAACAAAUAAAUAAAACGUCUAAGACGGCGUGACAACAAUGUGUAUUUGGGUGCGUGCCCGUGUUCCUCUGUCUGAACACCCAGUAAGGAAGACAAACGGGGCUCGUGCCUCACAGUAAUUAAUCCUCUCACUAAUUGACUCUCUCCCCUUACCUAAUGGCGGUGGUCACUGCCGAUAUCUGGAGAGACAUCAAGUUGGGGGAGACAGAGAGAGAGAACCCCAAAGCUAACGACCUUUGGGACUGAGAUUGAGUUUUUUCUGGACUUGGCAGCUCUAAGCCCUGCCCCCACCUCCACUUUUGGGCAGAGUUCCAUAGAUAUUGCUGCCUUCCUUCCCCCUCCAGGUUUUGGGCAGCAUUAAUAAAGAUCUCCUCAGAUUAGGGUGAUGUGGUUACACACACUGAAGCCCUUCUACCGCCCUCCACCUUGGGAGAUCAGUUUCAGAGGCUGAAAGCCACCCCUGUCCCUGGGACAUUUCUUACCUCCCUGCAAUACCAGCUCCCCCUCCCAUGUUGUUCCCCCAGGGGCCCAGACCCUGCACCCUCUUCUUUCAGGCAGUACUAACUCUUCCAAGGACCUGGGCGGUGUCCCGCAGUCCCCUAAGGCAGGUGAGGUUUUGAACGGGCUGAGAAGCAGUCUGGGGUUGAUGGAAGGAGAGUGGUGGGAGGUCAGGGCAAGGAUGGGGAGAGGCUUCCAGAGACAACCUUCCUCAGACUUGGGUUGAGAGACACAGAGGCGCAGAGAGGCGCAGUUGCCACCAGGCAAGAGAGAGGCCUCUAGGGACAAAGGAGGGAAAGGUGGGCUCUAUGCACUGUGGGAAGGAGCGCCAAGUGUGUGAGAGGCAGGAAGGUGGUCAUGUCUCUGUGACUGUGAGGGUGACAGUUCUGGUCUCUCUGUGUGAGCAUGGGGAAGCCCCCUAUGUUCCCUCACAGCACCCUCAGUUCUUAGACUGGGGAGAAGAGGCAGGGGACUGGUCUGGGACUUGAUGGUCCCCUUGGUAGCUGAGUUGGCUGGAAGGGGUCCAACGCCCACAGUCUGUCUGGUAAUGCAGCUUUGAGGCUUAGGUUUGGGAGGUGAAUGUCAACUCUCACCCCUGUGAGGUGGCAGCUUUGCUCUGUUGGCCUCCUCAGAGGCUAAAUAAAGAAAUGCUGAGAUCUAUAAACCACCCAGCCCAGAGAGAAAAAGGAGGGAGGAAGGGCAGCUCCCUAGAAAAAAAUCCACCCCCUCCCCACCACUAAACACAUUUUUAAUUGUCCCUUGGGAACAUUUGUACAUUUGACCAAAGCAAAUCUCAAAGCAGCAGCAGCAAAAUGAGUCAGAGGGGCUGGUGGUCCAGAGAGAGCUGGGGAUCGGAGAUGGGGAGGUGAGGAGAGGUGGCAGGCAUGUUUGGGAAGGUGAGAAACUUGGUUCCUUUCCCACCAUCUCUGUCAAGCUUUAGAAAGAAAGUGAGCAGGAGAAAUAAAGUUCCAGGGGAAAGAAAGAGAAGGGCAUAUAAAAGGCAAAUCCAACCCAGAAAGGAAAGAAAGUGAAGAAGAAAGAAAAAGGCAGGGAGGGGGGAGAGACUAUAAUAAAAGAGGGUGAAGGCGGCCCCAGGAGGCUGGGCCUCGUCCCAAACCAUCCGUCUUCAUUGUCUCCGUGUGUGCAAAGGCAACUCUGGCAUAAGGAAAACCCACUAUUGGAGCCGAGGCUUUAUUUUAUAUCCUAUACAUCAGGAGGGAGGCAAAGCUUUAUUUUCGCCAAGAGACAGAUAUUUUAUUUCUCUCUUACGGUUUUAUGUGUGAGAGAUGUCAGGUUGCCACAAUGGAUGGCUAAUGCAUAGGCAAGAGGAAGCCGUGUUGGCAUGCUGUGUGUCAUGGGGUCUUGUGGGGGUGAGCGGGCCUGGGAUUUAGGGCUGAUGGGACACUCUGGGGGAUUUCUGCUAAAACAUCUCUCUUCAUAAAUCCAGAAGCAUGGUCAGCUCAACAGGGAGAAGAAGGAGUUUUAGAGGGGAAAGAGUUGGGCUUAGUAAUAAACGAACACACAAAGGAACCGCUUACCUUCCAACAGCCUCGGGCAACAGGGGCACGACAGCCCCAUGGAAAUGCAGACACCCAUGUCCACGCACACAAGCGCCAUUCACAGGGAAGUAUUUUCCUGACACAAAAUCCAAUGUCAGUUUCCUUUCCUUUCCCCGUUUUAUAUUUUUCCACCCCCCUUCACCAGAAAUCUUUUUUAACCUCCUCAGAGCCUUGGGGGAAAAGAGCCAUUAAUUUGCAAAUCAUCUGAUCUGUGAAAGGAUCAAGAUGCCUGGUUUUCACUGCUAAAUCCAACGUCUUGAGUGGACACAGAGGCACACACAAGCCCGUCAUGCUGCCAACCCUUGGGAGCAUAGGUGCCAGAUCUGAAGCCAAGAAAAGACUCCCUCUCCUCCCGGGACCUGCAGCUGAAUUAAGCCUUAGAUUCCAAACUGCAUAAUGUUCAUAUUUUUAAACCUGGAGAGAAGUGGAGAGAUGAAGGGGGACAAAAAGAGGGGGAACUUUGUUAAUUAACGUGUUCCAUUCAGGACUUAGACUAAUUGUCUUCCCCACUUCCAGCCGCCCCCCAACCCAAGCCAUUUCUUACAGGAGUUGCUUUUAUUCAUUCUCAUGUUCUACUUUUCUCAUUUUUGGAUUAAUAUCUACUUGUUUAAUAUCUACUGUGGCGCAAAAACGUGACCACGCUCUUUCUUUUCAGAGGGUUGGAAGCAGCACAGGAUUCCUAGACAAGGAGCUUGGAGACUUGGCUACACUGUCCCUGGCCAUUAGGGAAGACGUUUAGCCUUUCCGGGCCUCAGUUUUCUCAUCUGUAACAUGAGGGGAUUCGGCUAAAUGAUUACUGAGGUCCCUUCCAGCUCCGACCUCCUCUGGCCGAAUGAGAUAAUGUGUGAAAACACUUUGUGAACACUAACACCGGACAGAUGCCAGGGAUCAUUAUUGCAAUUCUAAUCAAUCCUCUUUUCUCCACAUGGAUCUUGGCUGUUUAGUGCCAGCAAGCAGGCUAAAGGGGGCUGAAAGCAAGAAAGCUUAGCGGACAUGGAAAAGCUCUGUGCAGUGGGAGGGAAAAAAAAAACCCUGCAUCUCCAGAAACAUUGUGUCUCUGUGUGCCCCCUGAGGCCUAGUGGGAAGGGUUGGGGAGGAGGAGGCCUGACUUGGUAUGACCCAUUUUGGUCUACAUGGCGGCAGAGAGUGUAUUUCUUCAAAAGCAUUGUUGGUCUCCAAGUGACUGACAUGGGAACCUGAUGGGAAGGCGAUUUGCAAUUGUUUUUUUCCAGGAAGAAAGAAAGAGCAAGGUGUAGCUGAUUAGCAAGUUAAUUAUUUCAGUACCCCAAGGGUUCCAGUGUGGUGGUAAGUUGUCCAGCCCUGGUGUAAUUUCACAGUCUGUGCAUUUCCUGGUGAGCACCUGGGGUGCCCGAGUCUGUCUCUUUCUCUUUCCACCUGCCUUGUGUCUUCCUGACACACCUGGGGAGAUGAGCAGGGGCUGGGGAGGUUGAUGGUACAAGGUACACAUUCGGCUUAGGCUGCGGGUGGGGGCCACACCAAGAACAGGGUGGAGGAAGCCCAACUGAUGCCAUCUACCUCCGCUGAGUGUUUAAUUAUCUGGCCCUUUCUUCUUUAAAAAAUAAUCUUUUGUUUAAUAAAUAUUAAUGAGGCGGGUUAUCGGAAAGUGUAGUUGCCAUGAGGUUAUUUCCCCAGCCUUAGCAUGGAAAGAAACUGGGUUUGAGGAGCCUUUCGGCCCCUCACCGCCUUCUACCCCCACCAGCUCUCCCGUGCUCACGUUCCGCAGCAGCUCUUCCGGUCUCACUUCAAGAUUUGAUUUCCCCUUGGGGGAGGGUAGGGGAGGGAGGAUCAUGUGGUCAAAUGGACACUUCCCCUCGGAGAGAUAAGUUGGAGAUGUGAACAUUAGCCUCAAGAAUUAACAGCUUCUGCCGCUCUCUGCUCUCGGGGCUGAGAGGGCCAGCCCCCCCGCUGCUCCUUCCGCGAUGGAUGAAGGGAGGGCUCUACAGUUUACUUAAGAGUGGUCCCAUCUGCUCAGACUGGCCUUUCAUAAGGGGAGGGAUUUAUGCAGUGUCCUUGUGCACAGACCUGGGAUUUGGCUGAAAACCUUGGGCCUCUGAGAAUAUUACUGAACGCUAAAACGUUCAGCCAUGGAGAUGAUUCAUGAUUUUGUCUGCAUGGACAGUGUGUGUGUGUGUGUGUGUGUGUGUGCGCGCGCGCGCGCGCGUGUGUGUUUGUUGGGGUUGCACGCACAGUGAUGAUGGGUGCCACUCACCGUUCUCACUUUGAAUCCAAAUGUUAGGAAACUUUUUUUCCUUCUGUAUUCACUCAGGAGACAGGCCCUGGCACCAGGCUCUGGAGACCCCACUUCCUGACUCCAGCGGUGCGAAGAUGAUACAAUACUUUCUGGUGCUGACAUUCAGCUGUCUCCCAAACAGGUUGGCUGAUAGCCCUGCCCGUCCUUGAAGAGGGGCCGGGGGCUGUCUAAAAAGACAGUUCUGAUGACUGCUUCGUUGGUAGUGGCAGAGGAUUUGGGGCACAGGGGUGGAGUUAAGUCCAAUUGCUGUUUAAAUUGGACUUGGCCUCCUUUAUUUUACAGUCCUAAGGGGUCUCCAUAGGAGAAAAAGUAGCGAGAGAAACUUAGAACACAGGAAAGCAAGCAUAGGGAAGAGUUUCUUGUCUCAAUCUUGGUACUGCCGUGCCAAAAUGAAGCCCAGGGAUGGUUAAAAACGGAUCCUAGGGACCGGGCACCUUGGCUCAGGCCUGUAAUCCCAGCACUUUGGGAGAUCAAGAUGGGAGGAUUGCUUGAGGCUAGGAGUUCGAGGCCAGCCUGGCCAACAUAGUGAGACCUCAUCUCCAAAAAUAAAAACUUAAAAAAAAAUUUAAAAAACAAAAACAAAAAUACAGAUCCUAGGGAACAGAGUUUUGAGGUUCCCUGUGGGAUCUUGGCCUGACUCUUGGGAGAUGAAGAAGUCCUUGGCAAGUUUGAAAAGAUCUACAAGUGCCAUCUAUUCAGGGGACUAAAUGUGAUUUCUUUUCACUGCCCAGUGGCUGGUAAGGAAGGAAGCAUUUUGCAUUUUCAGCUUGUAGGAUGGUUAUUGGUGGUCCUACCAUCUUGCUCAUGUUCAAGUUUGGUCGUGUAGAUGAAGAGCCCAGCUUCCCAGCUCUUAGUUUUUCUUUUCCCUCAGGCCAUUCAUAAUUUAGCUAACAUUCUAGUCCAUUGACCAGCAUGCAUUUUGAAAGGUGAGCUGGCAAGCCUGUAACUGUGUGCAAGGUUGUUCUCAUUUAGGCUCCAGGAAGGAUAUAGUUUCCCCAUAAGAAAGAAAAGUGGGCGAGAGGCUGAGGUGGGAGGUCACUUGAGUCCAGGAGGCAAAGAUUGCAGUGAGCUGAGAACCAUGCCACUCACUGCCUUCCAGCUUGGGUGACAGAGUGAGACCCCAUCUCGAAAAAAAAAAAAAAAAAAAAAGAAAAAGAAAGAAAGAAAGAAAUAAAAGCAAGGAACUAUUUAUAUUAAUCUUUUAAUGAAGGAUUUACCAAUCUGAUAAGUACGAAGCUCCUUUUCCUCCUUCUGAAUGAGUAACUAUGUCAGUCAAUGUUGAGGGUCUGCAGAACCUAUACAAAAAUGCUUUCUUUGGUCUCUCAGUUUUAACACAUGCUGGGGCUUGGGCCUGCCUCUGACAGACUGGGGAGGAGUAGACACAUUCCAGAGACCAGGUCUUGGAGUGUUAUCUCUUCCCCCACCUCAAAUCCUCACCCUCCACUUUAUCUGUCUUUAGCACGAAUGCAGAGACCUCCUAGGGAAGUGUGAAGGGAUGGGUUUUCGUCAGGUUUAGGGAAGGAAGGGGAAUAAGAUGAGCCCCAAAGAAAGAUGGGGGUCAUUUGGAAUUUUUAGAUGACACUCUUUUGUUAUACUUUUCUUGUAUUGUGUAUUAUGUCCUACAAAUCGUGCAUUUGUUACAGUAAGCCACAGUGUGUAUGUGUGUUUGCCAAGUGCUGCUUGGCCAAA